Molecule: long non-coding RNA, 7436 nt
Filed under: Homo sapiens (human)
Lineage: Eukaryota; Metazoa; Chordata; Mammalia; Primates; Hominidae
Description: HSALNT0310780
Source: RNAcentral
UAAAAUUUGGUGAAAGCUGGGAGUGAUGCCUGGAUGGAGGCAGGCAAUGGAAGUCUUUGAGAAGUGUGGAUGGCAGUGGCAAGGACGAUGGCCAAGAUGGGAGAAAGGCCAAUGGGGCCAGAGGCUAGUAAACGGAGAAGGAGAUUAUCUUUUUAUUUUCCAGAUGUCUCACUGUGUCUUAGAAUCCGCUGUUAUGCUGAGAGAGCACAGGGAAAUGGAAUCAGCACUGUGCUGUUCGGACACUCAAACUGACCUAGAGGACUUGAAUGUGAAGAAAAACUGACGCUCUUGCUAAAGUCCAGCACUAGCUUGACAGCCAUGUGAAUGAACCUCAUUGGAACUGGGAUCUCUGGCUCUGGUUAAUCCUUCACCUGACUUCAGCUGUGGCCAACAUCUUUUUUUUUUUUUUUUCCAAGAUGGAGUUUCCCUCUCGUUGCCCAGGCUGGAGUGCAAUGGUUCAAUCUCAGCUCACUGCUACCUCCGCCUCCCAGGUUCAAGCGAUUCUCCUGCCCCAGCCUCCCAAGUAGCUGGGAUUACAGGCAUGCACCACCACACCCGGCUAAUGUUUGUAUUUUUAGUAGAGACGGGUUUCUCCAUGUUGGUCAGGCUGGCCUCAAACUCCCGACCUCAGGUGAUCCACCCACCUUGGCCUCCCAAGGUGCUGGGAUUACUGGUGUGAGCCACCGUGCCCGGCCUGUGGCCAACAUCUUGGUGGUAACUUCAUGAGACACCCUGAGACAAAAACAGCCAAGAUGCUCCCAAAUUAUUAACCAUUGAAACUGUGAGAGAUAAUGGUGCUUAUUGUCAUUUUAAGCUACUAAGUCUGGGGAGUAAUCUGUUAAAUUGCAAUAGAUAACUAAUAAAGUUGUGGACUCACCCCUGCUACCAGGACUUUUGGGAGCUUCUUGGUUUCUUUUUGUUUCUUCAGUAUCUGUCACUCUUCCGUUUGGCUCUGUAAGCUUCUCUCCCUCCAACUCCAUUCUGCCAAAGUCAGUUUCAAGUGCUUGCUAUUAAAGAAGAUAAUUUUAAAACAGUAGAGAUUAUUAACUGAAACCAAACUAAGGGAAAUAAUGUAUUUUUUGUUUCCUUGCUUGGUUGGUCUGGUCUUGAGAAAUUUCAAUUCAAUGUCUUGGUCUACUGUGGAUUUUAUUUUAGUUGUUUAAAUUGUAGUGUUAUGUAUCCACAUGGUUCACACAUAGGGAGCUGGAAGAUUGCACUUCCUCUAUCGGCAUUGCACAAGUCAAGUGUGAUUUACCACUGAUACAUAUGUCUCUUGAUGAAUAUUCUGAGGUUAUGCAGCCACUCUUUAUCACAUAUCAUUUAUAAAGAAUGAUGUGAUAAUCAGCUAUAAAGAAUGCAACAGUAAGCUUGUAAAAGGAAACUAAAUGCCUGGUAAUUAAGAAAUAUAUACGUUAUAGAUUUAAUUGUUGAAUAGUUAUGUUGAUUUAUCCCACACAAGUGGAUCUUUCAGAUUUAUAACUUGGUGUGCCCUGAACUUUAGCAUGUUACUCUCAUGAGUCUGUGAUGCUAUUUUAUUCUUCUUUACCUAUUUGUAUAAACUGGUAAAAAAAUUCAAGGACAAAAAAACUCUACAUACAAUGAAAACACAUGCCCAUUAUUUUAAAUAGAAUGAUUUUGUUUAGUAUGUUAAAAAUAGCAAUAUAAAAGAAAAGCUUUAACUAAGCUUGUCUAUUACAAUCAAAUUUGUUUAGUGUGUUAAUAAUUUUAAACCGUUAAUGAAACAAUCAGAUGUCUACUUUUAAGAAAAAUUUACAAAUGAUUUUUUUUUUAAAAUAUGCUUCCAUAUGAGUUAGGAGACAGAAAUGAACUUGACUAUUCCCUUCAUUCUAAAAUUAGGAAAUAAUUGGGAUUUAUAUCAAUGGUGAUGCCUUUCAAUGUCCAAGCUGGUAGAAUGAAGGCACAAUGGAAGUUAGAAGUCAAAAUAAAUGGACAGUAUGCUAUUUUAGCCAUUUUAAGUACAUCUGGCAAUACAAUAAUUUAUUGGUCAUUUUGAUAGACUAGUGAGACAAUUGGUAAAUUGAUAGAAGAUUGAUUUAUCAAUUUCUGAAUCUCAAUUUUAAAUUACAGUAUAUAUAAAAACUAUUUUAAGAAAUGUUCUAAAAUAUAUACCCUUUUUUAAUACUUUUAAAAUCUCAAAAUAGAAUAACUUAAAGGUCAUUGUCCUGAUUCUAACAUAGAUUCCAAGAUAAUUAUUUAACAGACUCUAAGUAUCAGUUGAAAUUUUAUGUAUGUAAGGGAAAUGUUUCACAUCAGUGAUUUUUCUAGUGCUUAUCUGGACACUGAAGGGAAGUUCACCAGAGAUGAUCUACAUAGGAAAUCCUCUGCAGAACCCCCACCUUAAUGUUGACAAAGCUACAUUACUUAUUAUAUCUGUUUUUCUAUCUUGGUCUUCUAUAAAGGACUUCAAUUUAAAAAAAAAGUGCUUUGGGAAAAAGAAAACACUGAAAAACCACUGAUACUGAUGGUCUUAAGAAUAUGUGUGCACAUCGUAAAAACAAAUAAAAAUCCCAACUUCCAUUUAUUUUAUAAGUCAGAUGUAGCUGGACAACAGACCUACUAAUAGUCUUCUUUAAAAACGUUUACACUUUAUAUGAUUUUGAAUAUCUCAAACUGAAUUUGGCUGAAUUCGACAACUUAGCAUUUUCAGGCAAGCUAAAGCUAACCUAUCUUGAAAUACAUACUUUUCAACAUAUUAAACAAAAACAUAUAUAUUUUUUAACAGUAUUCAAAGAUUUAAGAUUGCCUAUUUAAUCUUACCUCUUAGAUUUUGGUACUUUGAUGCUUGUAUGGUUUUCUUCUGUUGGGAGUCAGAACAAAAUACCCCAAACUAUGUUAACUUAAGAUGCUGAGUACUUUGAACUGAAGGAGAUUGGAAGGGCUGUAGAAGCAAGGACUCUGACCUUCUUCCAUCCUCUUCUCUCCAUCUGCUCCAUUAUCCCCUAAGUGAGUCAUAGAAACUAGAAUUUCUCUCCCUCAGAGCAAGGCUUACAACCUAGGAAGGUCUCUGAUUUUCUCCCUUCCUCCUGAAAGUCCUCAAUGGAACAAGUAACCUGCUCCAUAUUGGGGGGUUAGGGACAUGGAUAUCUUACAGAGAGAGAGAAAAAAAUCAGAACAAACAGGCCUUCCUGGGUUCCCCACUCAGUUUAUUACCAUUCAGUUAUACUCUUUUUGUUUAAUCAUGUUUCUCCAUAACUAUCUACCUGUCUUAUCAAACUUAGCAUUAAAACAGUUUUCUCUGGGUCUCUGGGCCUUCACUUCUGAAGGCUCCCAUGUCUCAUAAAACCUUGCUAAAUGAAUUUGUUAUGCUUUUCUCUUGCUGACCUGUCUUUUGUUAUAGUAUUGACCAUUACCCUUGUGGUAGGUGGGGAAGAUAUAUUGCUUUUUUCUCCUUUCUACUUUCAUGUAGUUAAAAGUAAAUGAGAAAUAGGUACUUUAGCUAUACUUCCUUGCAAUAUGUUUCAGUGAUUGUUCUAGAGAUUAUAAUAUAUGUCCUUCUUAACAGUCUACAUAAUAUUGUACCACUUCAUGUAAAAUGUGAAAACCUUGCAACAUUAUAGUUUCAUUCAUCCCUUUUCUUUGUGAUAUUGUGUGUUCUGCAUGUAUGUAUUGCAUGUACAUGCAUUAAAAGAUCUAAAAUUCUGUUUUAAUUUUUACUUUAAAGAAUAAUAUUUUUAAAGAAAUAAAAGAAGAAAAAUGUAUAGUCUUUUAUAUUUUGCCCAAAUAUUUAACAUUUCUGUGCUCUCUUUUCUUCCUGUCAAUCUGAAUUUCCAUCGCUAUAAUUUUCUUUUGACAUGAAAGGUUUAUUUUGCCAUUUUUGCAAUACAGGUCUGUUUCUGAUUAAUUCCUUCUGUUUUCAUUUAUCUGAAAAUAUCUUUGGUUCACCUUCAUUUUUGAAGACUAUUUCACCUGGAUAUAGAAUUUUUAAUUCACAGGGUUUUUUUUUUCUUUCAAUACUUAAAGAUGUCAUUGCAUUUACUUUUUUUACUGUAUUGUUUCUCACAAGAAAUAAACUGUCAUAAUGUGACAUGAUUAUGUUCCCAUGAACAUAAUGUGCCAUGAUUUUUUAUUUGCUCUAAAGACUUCCUCUUUAUCUUUGGUUUUUGUCCGUUUGUUUAUAAUGUGUCUGGACAUGGUUUUCUUUGCAUUUAUCCUAUUUGGUGUUCUCAUAGCUUUUUUGGCUCUUUAAGUUGAUGUUUCUAACCAAAUUCAGAAAAUACUGGCUAUCAUUCUUUAAAUAUUGUUUACUGCUUUAUUCAUAUUCUGUCUCUUCUUUCCCCCCACCCCUUUUCUCCUCUUCUUGUAAGACUUCAAUUAUGUUUGUGUUAUAAUUUUUGGUAUUGUCCCACAGGUUCAGCACUGUUCAACUUUUUACCUUAUUUUUUCUCUAUUCUUCAAAUUACAUAAUUACAUAUUGCUUUGUUAUUGAACUCAAUUACUUUUUAAAUGUUGUCAAUCUAUGAUUAACGCUAUCAAGUAAAUUUUUAUCAAAUAUAAUACUUUUCAAUUCUAUAAUUUCCAUUUCUUUCACAUGAUAGUUUUCAUACCUAUUCUGAGAAACCCCAUCUGUUCAUUCAUCAUGAUCAUAUUAUCCUUUAAAAUGUUUAUAAAACCUGCUUAAAAUCUUUGUCUGCUAAUUCCAACAUCUGUAUAUUUAGUACUGAUUUAUAUAGAUUGUGUUUUCUUUCAACUAUGAGUCACCUUUUUUCAUUUCUUUUUAAUAUGUCUAGUAAUUUUUUGUUAUAUGCUGGGCAUUAUAAGUCUUAAAUUAUAGGGCAUCUAGAAUCGUGUUGUCUUCCUUAAACAAUUGCCUUUUUAAGUGUGACAGCUAAAUCACUGGUGGAUGCUUUUGAUUUUGUCUUAUGUAGAUUUAUUCUUUUUAAUGGCUUUAUUUAUAUUUAGUUUUUAGUUAUUAAGUUCAGCCUAAGGCAGUCCCUUGCCUAGGGCAUGGUCCUUACUCUUUAGAUAUGAUUUAUCUGAAUCUCAACUGAAUGACAAUUGAGAUCUCAUCACAUUGGCUGGCUGCAAUUCCAGUGAAUUCCGGCAGUAUAUGUACUGUAGUAUUACUACUCAGUUCUCAGCCCUGAAAAAAAAAAUCUUAGCUAGGUUUUGUGAAGCCUCACUUUGCACAUACAUAGCCCAGUCCUUGGCCAAGGACUCCAAUUAAUCCCCACACACACUGCUGGGGCCCCUUUUAGCAUAGCUUGAUCUUCUUAGUUAACAUGCCUUGCAAAUUUCAGAUGUUUUCACAUCCUGGAUCACCAAUCUCUCCCUUUUCAAAUCACUGAGACCAUUAAUCCUGUAAGUUCCAUUUUCCUGCCAUUGAGAAAGCUGAAGUGUCAUUGGAGUGAUCACAGGGCUCACUUCUUGUGUUCCUCUUCUUUCAAGGUCUAUAAUUUUGUCCAGCCUAUUGAUUAAUUCCUGCAAAUGAUGGCUUCAUAUAUUUAUUACCAUUUUAUAAUUCCUUUAGGUCAGAGGUCCUCAUCUGGUUACUCUGUCAUAGUUAAAAUAUGAAGUCAUUUUCAAAUAGAUAUUUUAAACCAGCUUUCUGUAACAUUUCUGUACUUCUCUAACAGUAAAAUCAGAUAGCAUGCUAACAUUUUUUAAUAACCCUGUUGGAAACAAGCAAAAACCUAAUAACAAGGAAAAACCUAAUAACCCCCAAUAAACACACACGUCAUAUGUAUUUCAAAAAAGAGACGUUUCUUAUUUUUUCUUUCUGGGUAUAACACAUAUUAACUCUCUUUUGAUAAAAACAGAUUAAUAUACUUGUGCUUCACAAUUUGAUUAAUGCUAAUAUUUUAUAUUUAUACACAUACAAAAAUAGAAAUAUGUCAUGGGGAGUCUAUAUACUUAUAUUUAUGUGCUAUGUUAUACAUUAUGUUGUAAAAUAUGUAUUUCUUUAGAGAAGAAGAGGAACUCAAUUAUUCUGAUAUUUUAGCAAAUCACUUCUGUAUAGAGUUUAAAAAUUAUGUGUAAUUCAGAUAGAGACCAUUGUUUCUUAAAGACAAGCUUCAACUUACCAAUCAAUUUCCACCAGGACCUUUGCUUUCAGUAGACAAAAACUCAAUAAAUGACUUUGCCAUUAAUAUUUCUGUUUAUAUAAUAGAAUAGCAAUCUACUGAAAAUUUACAACUAUACUAAAAAUCCAGAAUGUGGCAUCUCGGGUAUUAUAACUAAAAUUUAAAUAAGAAUAUCACUUGAAGGGGUUUUAAAAGUAUUUACAACAUAUUUUAUAGAUUGUUGCUAAGAGGUUUACACAAUUCAUCUUACAGGUGUAGACACAUUAAUGAAUGUGAGGGUAUUAAUUUUCCUCUAGCAUUUAAAAUUUAUUAUUAGCUUGGUUUGGCAGUGAGAAGUUAAAAGGGCUUCAAGGUCCACAUGAAAUGGUUUUUAAGUGCAUUGGGAAUGAUGAGUUACAUUAAUUUUAGAUUCACCAAGUUCUUUUACAGGCUCUGUGUUGUCAAUGUUAAAGUUUUUAAAUCAGAAUUUCCUUUGAUGAAUGCCUCACUGAAACACAAAAAAAGCUAAAACAGGUAUUUAACAAACAAGAAAAUAUAUUAGGCCAGUAAACUUCUGAUAUUUUAGCAAAUCAAAAGUGCAAUAUUUUAAACAUUCCCAUCAAUAAUUAGGUAUGUGCAAAAUAAAACCAUAAUGAGGUAUUACCUGCCCAACAGAUAGACAAAAAAUUUUUUAAAGUUUAACAAUACCAAAUGUUGGCUGGGGCGUGAAGCAACAAAAAACUUUAAUAAACUACUUCAGUGAGUGUAAAUUGGUGCAAUCACUUUGGAAAACAAUCGGGCAUUUUUUAGUAAAAUUGACUGUAUACUUACCCUACAACCUUGCAAAUCUACUCAAAAUAUACACUCUCAGAUGGUGGUGGGUACUAACAUCAUGAUACGUAAACAAGCUCAGUGAUAGCAGCAUUGUUUGCAAUAGACAAAAACUGGGAACAAUUCAGUAUCUAUCCACAGCAUAAUGAAUAUGGAAAUUGUGUUAUAUUCAUAUAUUGAAAUAAUAUAUUACAACAAAAUUAAGUGCAACUACUCAAAAGAACAUGGAUUAAUUUCUCAAACAUAACAUGGAGUGAGAGAAGGGAAACAGUCUUAAAAUAAUACAUACUGUGUUAUUCAUAUAAAACUCCAAAGAGUCAAACCAAACUAUAUUGUUUAGGAAUACAUCAGUGGAAAACUUAGAGAAAAAAAAAAUACUGUACUGUAGAGUAUUUUAGAAGUCAGGAGAGUGAUUACUACCAAGGAAGAGGACAGAGAAUUGAAGAAUGGUAUGCUGAGGCUUCUGGGUGGCUGGCUGAUAUUUCCAGUGGUGUUUCUUAAUAACAACUCAUUAUACUCUACAUUCAUGUGUUGUAUCAAUUUCUGUAAAUAUGUUAUCUUUCAUAAUAAAAUGUUUUAAAUAUA